Molecule: ribosomal RNA, 254 nt
Filed under: uncultured bacterium
Lineage: Bacteria
Description: partial 16S ribosomal RNA
Rfam family: Bacterial small subunit ribosomal RNA
Source: RNAcentral
UACGUGGGUGGCAAGCGUUGUCCGGAUUUACUGGGCGUAAAGGGCGUGCAGGCGGCUUGUUAAGUGCAGGGUGAAAGCUCCCGGCUCAACUGGGAGAGGUCCUUGCAUACUGGCGAGCUCGAGGGAGGCAGAGGAAAGUGGAAUUCCCGGUGUAGUGGUGAAAUGCGUAGAUAUCUGGAGGAACACCGGUGGCGAAGGCGGCAUCCUGGACCAACACUGACGCUGAGGAGCGAAAGCCAGGGGAGCAAAACGGG